GUUCGAGAGAGCUGAUGAUGAUCAAGAGGUAAGGGUAGGAAGGAACUAGUGGUCUGAUCCUUGAACUAGAGGAUGUGAUAACUGGGAUCCUCAGACGCAAGCGCUGAAGGGUUCCCAAGUUUUACACAUACACCCUCAAGUUGAAGAAAAAGAUCACAGCCAAGCCCUCGGGCGAGGCGGAUAAGGGUCGGCGGAACAGACAGGGUCGGACGAGGCGGAACCGGGGUCGGGCGGAUAGGAGGGGUCGGGCGAGGCGGACUUAGGGUCGGCAACUCACCUUCUUCCUGAAAGGAAAGCUUGGGGUCGGGAAGAGGCAAACUUGGGCGAGAGGUCUAAAGCUUCGAGCAAGGGCUAAGACCGGCAAAGCUCCGGCGGCGGCGCUGCUUCUUGCGGAUCACAAGAGAGCUCUACGCAGCACAAAGGAGCAAGCUGCUGGGUGACUUGGAGGAACUGAGAAGGAACUGGGAGAAGAACUUCUCAAGAACCGGGUGGGUAGCGCUAGGAGCUUGAGCAGGGAGCUAGAGAAGGCUAAGGCAACAAAGGCGGAGGGAACUCCGGCGAUGGGGGCAUUCCUUUUAUAGCUGCUGGAGCAAAGGAACGGAAACGU
RNAcentral lists this long non-coding RNA (607 nucleotides) under Setaria viridis. Its description in RNAcentral is "long non-coding RNA (SVIR_LNC000623)". The record is from RNAcentral. Lineage: Eukaryota; Viridiplantae; Streptophyta; Magnoliopsida; Poales; Poaceae.